RNAcentral lists this unclassified non-coding RNA (409 nucleotides) under plant metagenome. RNAcentral describes it as "partial contains small subunit ribosomal RNA, internal transcribed spacer 1, and 5.8S ribosomal RNA". The record is from RNAcentral.
UUUCCGUAGGUGAACCUGCGGAAGGAUCAUUACCGUGAUUCACUUCUCAAGUGAACAAGGAAAGGCGUGAGAUGGUUUGUGAUAAUAGUUUACUGAAAUCACCCUCUCAUGAUCUGCCAGAUAUUAAAGCUGCUAAGUUAUGGAUUCACCCUUAUACAAAGGAACCUUUUCGUAAGGAUCUGGGGGAGUAACUAUUUCUUGUGCACUCUGGUAGAUACCCCAUGUACUAAUGCGUCAUGGGUUUGUAAGUCAAAGUACUGGAGUGGCAAAUUAAUCAGAGUUGUGAGAAGUAUGUGUUACUCGUUUGUUUCUUUGGGAAAUGCAAUUCGAAAUUUCAAAAAGUGUAUAUUAAAAUACUAUAACAAAACCAAAAAAAAAUCAACCUCGAGUGGUGGAUCACUCGGCUCGU